RNAcentral lists this ribosomal RNA (429 nucleotides) under Acidobacteriota bacterium. Its description in RNAcentral is "Acidobacteria bacterium partial 16S ribosomal RNA". It matches the Rfam family "Bacterial small subunit ribosomal RNA", at positions 355 to 776 of the family's 1533-position model. The record is from RNAcentral. Lineage: Bacteria; Pseudomonadati; Acidobacteriota.
UGGGGAAUUUUGGACAAUGGGGGAAACCCUGAUCCAGCCAUCCCGCGUGUGCGAUGAAGGCCUUCGGGUUGUAAAGCACUUUUGGCAGGAAAGAAACGUCAUGGGUUAAUACCCCGUGAAACUGACGGUACCUGCAGAAUAAGCACCGGCUAACUACGUGCCAGCAGCCGCGGUAAUACGUAGGGUGCAAGCGUUAAUCGGAAUUACUGGGCGUAAAGCGUGCGCAGGCGGGUCGGAAAGAAAGAUGUGAAAUCCCAGAGCUCAACUUUGGAACUGCAUUUUUAACUACCGGGCUAGAGUGUGUCAGAGGGAGGUGGAAUUCCGCGUGUAGCAGUGAGAUGCGUAGAUAUGCGGAGGAACACCGAUGGCGAAGGCAGCCUCCUGGGAUAACACUGACGCUCAUGCACGAAAGCGUGGGGAGCAAACAGG